Hemicordylus capensis (graceful crag lizard) is the source of this 467-nucleotide long non-coding RNA. RefSeq lists it as uncharacterized. The transcript has 3 exons. The record is from RefSeq and is a predicted model, not a curated record. Lineage: Eukaryota; Metazoa; Chordata; Lepidosauria; Squamata; Cordylidae.
AGUAGCGGGAUGGAGGUGCGAUAAACAAGCCACAGCUGCUUCAGCCAGAUUUCCAUCCAAUUGACAACAACACAUCCAAACCAAUAGAAUUAAUUUUGUGAGCAGGAUUUAAUGAGACAAGGCAUCAAUUUUUUUUAUUGAAAUCCAAGGAGGAGCUUCCUACUGUGUUCCUUUCCUCAGCCAACCAGCAAAAGAAGAAUGGCUGAUGAAGGCAUAUGAAUAUGCUGAAAUGGCAAAACUUACUGUAUUAGUAAGAGAUAGUCAUAUAGAAAACUCCGUAGAAGAUUGGAAACCCUUUUUGCGGUAUAUGAAAAACAAUGUGAAUUUGGAUUUAUUAAUGGGGGUGAAAUGUAAAAAUAACAGUUGGGGAAUUUGUUAUAGUAAUGAAACUAAUAGAUUACUAUGGUGAUGAAAACAAGGAUUAGGACAUAAUAACCAGAUAUAUAAAUACGAAUAAAAUAUUUACA